UUCCUUCUCGUCUUGUGCACCAGAGGCAUGGAAUAGUCUACAAUCCAUGCUUCAUCUAGGUAUGUUAGUGCCACUGAAUUCAUUUAAAAUAUUGAUGGGAGACUCUGUUACAGAGGAUUCCGUAGUCUGUAUUCCGUGGUUAUAUGAGGUCUGUGGUUGUGAGGCAGGCGGUUGGACAUACUGCCAAAGUCUCUAAAACAACGUUGGAGGCAGCUUAAGGUAGAACAAUUAACAUUAAAUUCUCUGGCAACAGUCUCUGGUGAACAUUUCUAUAGUCAGCAUGCCAAUUUGCGGCUCCCUCAAAAGUUGACACAUCUAUGGCAUUGUGUUGUGUGAUAAAAAUGCACAUUUUAGUGUCCUUUUAUUGUCCCCAGCAGAUCGGGAGGUAAUGGGGAUAGAUGCCAUAAAGAGGUCAAUGGAAUGCAGACCGUGGGGGAUAGGAUGCUGGAUUGGCCUACAAAUCUGAUCUAACAAAGUUAUGGACAGGUGCAAUCAGGUGGCAAGAGGGGUGGAGUGCACUCCCUCAACCCAUGGGUCCAGAAGGCAGUUCAAUAACUACAGACAGAAGUGAGAUGCAGGAGGAUGGCACUCUUCUCAUACCACUCUCUAGGCUACUGCCAAAUUCAAAGCUACCUCCAGGAGGAAGCUGAUAAACAAAGUGUUUUGAUAACUUUCAAGUGUAACAGUUCCAUGUAGAAUAAACCAUACGACACAUAAUAUUGUUAGAAGCAAUGUUCUGCUAAUAUAACAAUGUACAAAUAUUAUACCUGUCUUAUUUGUAGUCACCUUUUGUCCCUUCUGACAUGCUACAUCACAUUACACGUUAGCUUGAUGUAUUUAGCUCGCUAGCAUUAUCAAAUAAUGUUGUAUAGUAAUAACUAUCUACUAACGUACUCACCAUCACCAGUAGUUUGACGGUUGACAGGCAGCAGAAGUAACCAUGUUGAAUGUAACUCAAGGGUGUGCCGCAAUUGCGGAGCUCCGUACCAUCUCGCCAUGGCCUCCCAAAUUUUGUAACAAUGUGAGGGCUCCGUAUAGCUCCGAUUUAACAUUGUCUGACUGCAGGUGGGGGCGAUACGUCCUGUAUAAACACAAACUCACUUCCUUGACAACUUCAUUCACAACAGCUCUGCUCUGAGAAGCACAAGUAUGAAUGCCCUGACUUCUGCAGAGGCCGCAUCGCAGUAAAUGCUGUACGUUCAAUGCAGACACCAGAAUGUCCAUAAAUCGGCGUUAAGUAAUCCAUACCCAACCCUCCAGUAGUUGUGAUGAACUCACUUACAAAACACAGUUUUGUCGUCAAUUUUGACACUGAAAUGAAUGUGUCUGACUCAUAUCGAUGCCACAUAGGCCGUUUCAAACCAGAGAAGUUGGUUCUAAGGGGCAGUUGACCCUCUAGGCAGGAGUUUUUGCUCUUGCUCCACAACAAAAUAUACACUGAAAUCAGAGUCAGCUAUCCUUUACUCUGCAGGCUUUGAUUUUGAAAAAAAACACCAGGCAAAAUACAUGGAAACAGAUGCACCUGCGCAGGAACUGGAAUACAA
Molecule: long non-coding RNA, 1544 nt
Filed under: Salmo salar (Atlantic salmon)
Lineage: Eukaryota; Metazoa; Chordata; Actinopteri; Salmoniformes; Salmonidae
Description: lncRNA (ENSSSAG00000116285.1)
Source: RNAcentral